AGCAGCCGCGGUAAUUCCAGCUCCAAUAGCGUAUAUUAAAGUUGUUGCAGUUAAAAAGCUCGUAGUUGAAUUUCGGGAUCAAUCUGUUGGUCGUGCCUUUGGUACGUACUAGCUUAUUGAUUUCUCCCUUCUGACGAACCAUGAUGUCAUUAAUUUGGUGUCAUGGGAAAUCAGGACUGUUACUUUGAAAAAUUAGAGUGUUUAAAGCAGGCUCACGCUUGAAUACAUUAGCAUGGAAUAAUGAAAUAGGACGUUUUGAUUCUAUUUUGUUGGUUUCUAGGAUCGACGUAAUGAUUAAUAGGGAUAGUUGGGGGCAUUAGUAUUCAAUUGUCAGAGGUGAAAUUCUUGGAUUUAUUGAAGACUAACUAUUGCGAAAGCAUUUGCCAAGGAUGUUUUCAUUAAUCAAGAACGAAAGUUAGGGGAUCGAAGACGAUCAGAUACCGUCGUAGUCUUAACCAUAAACUAUGCCGACUAGGGAUCGGAUGAUGUUAAUUUUUAAUGACUCAUUC
This 509-nucleotide ribosomal RNA is filed under the name uncultured Glomus. Its description in RNAcentral is "SSU rRNA". It matches the Rfam family "Eukaryotic small subunit ribosomal RNA", at positions 569 to 1081 of the family's 1831-position model. The record is from RNAcentral. Lineage: Eukaryota; Fungi; Glomeromycota; Glomeromycetes; Glomerales; Glomeraceae.